GACGUAGGGUCCAAGCGUUGUCCGGAUUUACUGGGCGUAAAGAGCGCGUAGGCGGCUCGUUAAGUGUGAAGUGGAAUCUCCAGGGCUCAACCCGGAAACUGCUUUACAUACUGGCGAGCUGGAGUGAUGAAGAGGUUUGUGGAAUUCCUGGUGUAGCGGUGAAAUGCGUUGAUAUCAGGAGGAACACCCAUGGCGAAGGCAGCAAACUGGUCAUCAACUGACGCUGAGGCGCGAAAGCGUGGGUAGCAAACAGG
RNAcentral lists this ribosomal RNA (254 nucleotides) under uncultured bacterium. RNAcentral describes it as "partial 16S ribosomal RNA". It matches the Rfam family "Bacterial small subunit ribosomal RNA", at positions 524 to 776 of the family's 1533-position model. The record is from RNAcentral.